This 90-nucleotide transfer RNA is filed under the name Nitrosarchaeum koreense MY1. Its description in RNAcentral is "tRNA-OTHER". The stretch from base 26 to 82 matches the Rfam family "tRNA", at positions 8 to 63 of the family's 71-position model. Rfam says of the family: Transfer RNA (tRNA) molecules are approximately 80 nucleotides in length. Their secondary structure includes four short double-helical elements and three loops (D, anti-codon, and T loops). RNAcentral also lists the same sequence under 1 other name. The record is from RNAcentral. Lineage: Archaea; Thermoproteati; Nitrososphaerota; Nitrososphaeria; Nitrosopumilales; Nitrosopumilaceae.
AGCGGGGUGGGGAAGCCAGACUCUUUAGGGCUAGGUCAUCCCGGCGGGCUCAUAACCCGCAGUUCAGUAGUUCAAAUCUACUCCCCGCUA